UCGGAUCGCUGUGAUGCGGGCGGUUCGCUGCCCGUGACUCUGCGAGAAGUCCAUUGAACCUUAUCAUUUAGAGGAAGGAGAAGUCGUAACAAGGUUUCCGUAGGUGAACCUGCGGAAGGAUCAUUGUCGAGAUCGAAUUAUAUCGAGUGAUUCAGAGAACCUGUGAAAUAUCAUAACAUUCGUGCCAAUUGAAGGCCUUGCCACACGUCGGGGCCACCAUGCGGGGUGAAUGAAACUCAAACCGGCGCAGUUGGGCGCCAAGGGACUAUUAACGAGACACGAGCUCCAUGGGGCUUAGUGGCGUGGAGUGCUAUUGCACAACACAUUUAUCGAAACGACUCUCGGCAAUGGAUAUCUCGGCUCUUGCAUCGAUGAAGAGCGCAGCGAAAUGCGAUACGUGGUGCGAAUUGCAGAAUCCCGCGAACCAUCGAGAAUUUGAACGCAAGUUGCGCCCGAGGCCAGCUGGCUAAGGGCACGUCCGCCUGGGCGUCAAGCGUUGCAUCGCUCCGUGCCAGCUUCGUCUCACUCAGAUGGGUGCGAAUGCGCGGGCGUCGGAUGUGAAGAGUGGCUCGUCGUGCGCUUCGUCGCGGCGGGCUGAAGAGUGGGUGAUCGUCUCGUUGGCAACGAGCAGCAAGGGGUGGAUAAAGUUGUGCAAGUGCUGCAUCUUGUCGGCAUGAGAACAGAUUAGACCCUACAGAUGAUCCCUACCAAGUGUCGAUCAAUUGGCGACGGCUUGGAAUGCGACCCCAGGAUGGGCGAGGCCACCCGCUGAGUUUAAGCAUAUCAAUAAGCGGAGGAGAAGAAACUUACAAGGAUUCCCCUAGU
This 825-nucleotide ribosomal RNA is filed under the name Lankesteriana cuspidata. Its description in RNAcentral is "eukaryotic LSU rRNA". The stretch from base 337 to 492 matches the Rfam family "5.8S ribosomal RNA". Lineage: Eukaryota; Viridiplantae; Streptophyta; Magnoliopsida; Asparagales; Orchidaceae. The record is from RNAcentral.